Oxyura jamaicensis (ruddy duck) is the source of this 273-nucleotide long non-coding RNA. RefSeq lists it as uncharacterized. The transcript has 4 exons. The record is from RefSeq and is a predicted model, not a curated record. Lineage: Eukaryota; Metazoa; Chordata; Aves; Anseriformes; Anatidae.
AUCUUUGUAGCCCUCCUCUGGACACUCUCCAACAGUUUCACAUCCUUUUUGUACUGUGGUGCCCAGACCUGCACACAGUGCUCGAGGUGAGGCCGCACCAGCACAGAGUAGAGCGGGACAAUCCCUUCUCUCGACCGACUAGCGAUGCCAUGCUCGAUGCACCCCGGGGUACGGUUGGCCCUCCUGGCUGCCAGGGCACACUGUGGCUCAUGUUCAGCUUGCUAUCAACCACAACCCUCAGAUACCCCAUCCCUCUGCGGAGCUGCUCUGCAG